UAUGGCCCCUGGGGCCCCAGAAGGGCCAAGAGCACUUUUUCAUGGAAAUGCUGGAUUUCGUUCACACUUCCCCGCAUUGUUCGAACCCGUCCCGGAUAGCACACAAAACGCAGAAGAGGACGGAGGGACACCAGAAGAAAAGGAAGAUGAACGUGAUGUGGGAAUUAGCGUGGAGAUUCAGAUUGGACGUAAACUGCGUGAAAUGGGGGAUCAGUUUCAGCAGGAACAUCUUCAGCUGUUCACUCAAAGGGGCCAGAUGGGUUUGUUCCAGCUAGUGACGACACUCUAUAACUUCCUUUUUCCUCAAGAAAGACCCCAAAAUGCAAGAGCCCAGAGAUGAGAGGCCACGGCGCACCAGUUCAGGACCCAAAUGAGUUUCACACAGCACUGUAAGAUGCGCAGAUCUGGAUUGACAUGGCUCAAAAAGAAGGUUGCCGCUGGUCGGAGACUUCCCUCCUUUUUCUGAAGAAGCCAUUCUAAAAAAUGGCGCGUUGGAGGAAAUUGUCUGCAGGUUGCAUAUCAAUAUGAAGAUAUUAAUAUUCUGCCUUAUGUUUCCCCAACACGUUCACAUAUGUGCGGAUCUCAGCGCCUUAAUAAAACCCUCAGAAAAUGAAAGAACUGCUUUAAUAGGCAACACGCUGUUUGAAUACUCGAGGUCAACAGCAUUUGAGUAUUUGUGCUGACUUCAAUACACCUACUGAACUCCGACGCAUCCCAGAACAGACUCUUCAUCUUUCUCUGCUGGUGUAUCACGGUUUAUGCUCGAUUCACUGCUGUUAACAGUGUUAUUUGGACAGAGUUGAAAGACAACGGAUGUGAUGAGAUGCAAUCCAGAGGCCAGUAACAUCAUAGAGGACCGACACAGAACUGAAAAAACUUUGUUCAAAUACAGCUUGAAAAACAACUUGAACAUCAGGUUUUAAUACCUGUAUAACAAUAAUGAGCCAUUUCUGAGAACACGGAGACAAAUAUGAAUUUUGUGAUUUUAAAAGGGUCAUUUUUUCUUAUUAAGGGAGAAUGUACCAUAAAAUUAUUUACAACAAUUUUACCCUUCUGAAAUAUUAGUUUGCCUUCCUGAAUUCUACUGUUCUGCUGUCAUACAUCCCAGGCUUUACAUAAUGACAUGAUUUCUCUCAGGCACUGAAGUAUUACUUUGAGAUAUCAGUGUUUAAAGCAUCUCUUCAGUAAUUGGUGACAUUCAAAAUGUGCUCAAAGAGCAAUACACCAAAUCAUACUUUACAGUACAACUCAAGCGAUAAAUGCAAUCAAUAAUAUAUAAUCUAAUCUACAAGUUACCAUAUAAGAACCUAUUAAAGUUCUAGCAAGAGUUGUGUUGGUAGGCUAUAUAUAUGUCAAUCAAUAGUUAUUAUACAGAGGUUUUUAUUACUGUAAAUGUCUUAAGAGGGAAAGUGUCCUCUGCAUAGCGUAAAUAUGCUUUAAUUAAAGGGUCAGUUCGCACAGAAAUUAAUAUUAUGUAAUCUGUUACUCACCCUCAUGUCAUUCCGAACAUUCCUGUGUUAUUUUCUUUCUUCCAUGCAAAAAAGUUGAUGGUUUUCGUUAGGGUAACGCCAUGUUUAAUUUUGGCGGCAAUGAAAACGAAGCAGUGAGGGAUAUAAAAGUAGUAACGAAACAAAUACAAACAUUGCAAUUUGAUUUAGGACAUUUUAUACAGUACAUGCCAUCUAAAAACUGUCCAUCCCUCAAGACUCGUUUUCAGCUGCAUCAAAUUAUAAAUGGCGUCUGUCCAGGUUUGUAAACGAUGGCAGAAUUCACAUUUUUUAACGUGAACUGUCCCUUUAAGAAUGAGGACGAUAAUGAACUCAGACGUUAGAUUUCUAUUGGAGCGUCCAAUGAGGCGGCCAGAUCGCAUCACGUGACUGGCGAAUGCUCUGGCGAUUCUGAUAUGAAUAUUUAAGAGUUUGUAUAUGAUAUGCGAUAAAGCGGGGUGUGCCUCAAAUGCUUGUGUAUUGGUAACGAUGACACUUGCAGACAAUCAAACAGCUGAAGGUGCCUUAGAACAGCAGGCCAACGAUGAAGGUUUGGGCUUCAGUCACAGCACCCAAACAUAUGGACUAUAGAUCAUAAACGAACACGUAUCGCAGCCGGGUGACUAAAUACCUCCAGCUAAACAACGGGGAGCUCAAACAGACUGUCAAAGAGAAUCUGAAGUGAUGAUUUGCAGGAACAGGCUGCUGCUGCUGCUGCCUCAUUCAUCUGAAAUGCCCUUUCAAAUGCACUUGUCUCAGAAAGUCGUCAAAGAAGUAAAACUGUCGAGCUGUUUUUACUUUGUUUGGAAUGUGCACGGGACGUUACUGCUGGUUGUUUUUUAAUUUUGCUACUUAAAA
This is a long non-coding RNA of Sinocyclocheilus rhinocerous, 2345 nucleotides long. RefSeq lists it as uncharacterized. The record is from RefSeq and is a predicted model, not a curated record. NCBI's taxonomy places the organism in Eukaryota, Metazoa, Chordata, Actinopteri, Cypriniformes, Cyprinidae. The transcript is spliced from 4 exons.